GUUCUCAAAAUAGACAUCAGCUGAGUAUACACCACAAGCAAUAUCAGAGUCAAAUGCAGAAGUAGAGUCAUAGGCACAGGCAAAAUAAGCAUUAGUCACAGAAUCAAAAUAGGUAGACAUGUAGAAAAGAGGGGUAAGAAUGCAGAGAAAAUAUGCAACUAAAGUUAUCUAAAUGCAACACACAUGAUAGCACACACAAAACGGACCAUCACACUCACAACACAAGACAAAACACAACACACACUAACACAACAAAGACCUAAAACCGAACCGUUGGUCCUCGGCAACGACGCCAAAAUUUUGAUGGGUUGUCGCGGCCCAUACAAAUUUGAUUGCAUAUGAGAAAUGCAGUAUAGCUAGGUCGUCUCUCAAGGACCAAAUGUGGUUCGAGAAUUAGGUCUAACACGAAGUGGGGGGGGUUGUGAAAGGUUUGUGUGAAUGCGGAUGAACUAAAUUAAAACACAAAUGCGACA
Molecule: long non-coding RNA, 473 nt
Filed under: Vigna radiata
Lineage: Eukaryota; Viridiplantae; Streptophyta; Magnoliopsida; Fabales; Fabaceae
Description: long non-coding RNA (VRAD_LNC001809)
Source: RNAcentral